UAAUUUCUUCAAAAAAAAAUA
This 21-nucleotide non-coding RNA is filed under the name Caenorhabditis elegans. The record is from RNAcentral. Lineage: Eukaryota; Metazoa; Nematoda; Chromadorea; Rhabditida; Rhabditidae.